CCUACGGGUGGCAGCAGUAGGGAAUAUUGGACAAUGGGCGAAAGCCUGAUCCAGCCAUGCCGCGUGAUAGAUGAAGGCCCUCUGGGUUGUAAAUAUCUUUUAUCUGGGAAGAAACAAUCUUAUUCUUAAGAUCUUGACGGUACCAGAGGAAUAAGCACCGGCUAACUCCGUGCCAGCAGCCGCGGUAAUACGGAGGGUGCAAGCGUUAUCCGGAUUCACUGGGUUGUAGGCGUGCGUAGGCGGCCUGAGUGAAAGCUCCGAGCUUAACUUGGAAACUGCCAUUGAUACUGCCAGUCUUGAGUGUCGUAGAGGUAAGCGGAAUGUUGCAUGUAGCGGUGAAAUGCUGAGAGAUGUUACAGAACACCAAGUGCGAAGGCAGCUUACUAUGCGAUGAUUGACGCUGAGGCACGAGAGCGUGGGGAGCAAACAGGAUUAGAUACCGCUGUAGUC
Molecule: ribosomal RNA, 450 nt
Filed under: uncultured bacterium
Lineage: Bacteria
Description: partial 16S ribosomal RNA
Rfam family: Bacterial small subunit ribosomal RNA
Source: RNAcentral